This 346-nucleotide unclassified non-coding RNA is filed under the name Hevea brasiliensis (rubber tree). The record is from RNAcentral. Lineage: Eukaryota; Viridiplantae; Streptophyta; Magnoliopsida; Malpighiales; Euphorbiaceae.
GCUGAAUAAAUUUAAUUAAGAUCGCGUUCUUUUGUGGAACUUCGUAAUCCAGGCAUCAUAAACACAGCAAGUGAUUUCUCGGCUGAAAGUGCAGAUCUCCAGAUUUCUUUGCCAUGACCUCGAGCUCCUUUUGGUUCCUCUCUUGACCUUCAGGACUUUCACUCGACCAAAUCUUGCUCCAAGACUAUUUAUGAAGGAACCUUAUCCUCUGAUACUGCUUCGAGGAGAAUUUGUUCCAUAAUAAUCUCCUUUCUGGAGAAGUUACAAGCAAUGCUCCUCUCUCCAAUUAUGGACUAUCGGCCAGCAACGUUCACUACGUAGAGAAAUAUGCGAAAAAGUUUAUGAG